This is a non-coding RNA of Pelobates cultripes (western spadefoot toad), 337 nucleotides long. The record is from the annotation of a GenBank genome assembly. NCBI's taxonomy places the organism in Eukaryota, Metazoa, Chordata, Amphibia, Anura, Pelobatidae.
AGGAAGGGAUGACUGGUGACAGAGUGAGGGAAUGACUGGUGACAGUGUGAGAGAGGGGUGACUAGUGACAGAGUGAGGGAGUGAGUGAAGGGGGUGACACAGUGACAGAGUGAGAGAGGGCGUGACUAGUGACAGAGUGAAGGAGAUGGUGACUGUCACUAGUCACCCCAUCCCUCCCUCUGUCACUAAUCACCACCUCCCUCACUCUGUCACUAGUCACCCCUUCCCUCCCUCUGUCACUAGUCACCCCCUCCCUCUCUCUGUCACUAGUCACACCCUCCCUCACUCUGUCACUAAUCACACCCUCCCUCACUCUGUCACUAGUCACACCCUUCCU